GCGGCUUUAGCGUAGUGGUUAUCGUGCACCCUUAGGGAGCUCAGUUGUACGACAGCAACUCCUGGGUGAGGUCCUCGGUUCGACUCCGGGAAGCCGCC
Non-coding RNA from Saitozyma sp. JCM 24511, 98 nucleotides. Lineage: Eukaryota; Fungi; Basidiomycota; Tremellomycetes; Tremellales; Trimorphomycetaceae. The record is from the annotation of a GenBank genome assembly.